Molecule: ribosomal RNA, 547 nt
Filed under: uncultured bacterium
Lineage: Bacteria
Description: bacterial SSU rRNA
Rfam family: Bacterial small subunit ribosomal RNA
Source: RNAcentral
UGGGGAAUUUUGGACAAUGGGCGCAAGCCUGAUCCAGCCAUGCCGCGUGGGAAAGAAGGCCUUCGGGUUGUAAACCGCUUUUGGCAGGAACGAAACGGCGACCUCUAAUACGGGUCGUUAAUGACGGUACCUGCAGAAUAAGCACCGGCUAACUACGUGCCAGCAGCCGCGGUAAUACGUAGGGUGCAAGCGUUAAUCGGAAUUACUGGGCGUAAAGCGUACGCAGGCGGCUUUGCAAGACAGGUGUGAAAUCCCCGGGCCUAACCUGGGAACUGCAUUUGUGACUGCAUGGCUAGAGUCUGUCAGAGGGGGGUGGAAUUCCACGUGUAGCAGUGAAAUGCGUAGAGAUGUGGAAGAACACCGAUGGCGAAGGCAGCCCCCUGGGAUGAGACUGACGCUCAUGUACGAAAGCGUGGGGAGCAAACAGGAUUAGAUACCCUGGUAGUCCACGCCCUAAACGAUGUCUACUAGUUGUCGGAGGGUAACUCCUUCGGUAACGGAGCUAACGCGUGAAGUAGACCGCCUGGGGAGUACGGUCGCAAGAUUA